RNAcentral lists this transfer RNA (65 nucleotides) under Lycosa shansia. Its description in RNAcentral is "tRNA-Ile". Lineage: Eukaryota; Metazoa; Arthropoda; Arachnida; Araneae; Lycosidae. The record is from RNAcentral.
AAUUAUGUGCCUGAUUAAAGGGUUAAUUUGAUAGAUUAAAUUAUGAAAUUAUUUUUAUUUCAUUA